This 422-nucleotide long non-coding RNA is filed under the name Triticum aestivum (bread wheat). Its description in RNAcentral is "long non-coding RNA (TAES_LNC006443)". Lineage: Eukaryota; Viridiplantae; Streptophyta; Magnoliopsida; Poales; Poaceae. The record is from RNAcentral.
UUGCGACUGUCACACAGUCGACCAAGCGCCCUCGGACCACCUCUCCGGCGCCGACUGAAAAGGCGUCGAAGCAGCCCAGGGCGGCCCCGUCAAAGCCGACCAAGCUCCUGCCGAAGAUGAAGGUGUCCAUCCCCACCAUAUCAGGGUAAUCAUGCUGCUUAAGUCUUCUUGUUUUGUAUGAACUUUAUCUCUGGUUGGCGCUGGAGUUAGUCGACUGAUUCCUUGGAGUUACAGUGCUGCUACUUCUGAGACCUCAGCCCGGGCUGACGACCAUGAGAUGGAGGACGCAGCAACCUCAAAACCUGGUACUAUACUCUUAACACCGUUUCUAGUCGACUGACUCAUGAUCUCUGACUCUGAUUCUUUUCUGUUGCUCCAUCCAAUGUUGUUAUCACUCUCCCUGAUGAUGAUGAAGAUGAGGA